RNAcentral lists this ribosomal RNA (274 nucleotides) under uncultured bacterium. RNAcentral's name for it is "partial 16S ribosomal RNA". It matches the Rfam family "Bacterial small subunit ribosomal RNA", at positions 523 to 796 of the family's 1533-position model. The record is from RNAcentral.
AUACGGAGGGUGCGAGCGUUGUUCGGAAUUAUUGGGCGUAAAGAGCAUGUAGGCGGUCUGUUAAGUCUGGUGUGAAAGCCCGGGGCUCAACCCCGGAAGUGCAUUGGAUACUGGCAGACUUGAGUAUGCGAGAGGAAAGCGGAAUUCCGAGUGUAGGAGUGAAAUCCGUAGAUAUUCGGAGGAACACCAGUGGCGAAGGCGGCUUUCUGGACCAAUACUGACGCUGAGAUGCGAAAGCGUGGGGAGCAAACAGGAUUAGAAACCCCGGUAGUCC